This 252-nucleotide unclassified non-coding RNA is filed under the name uncultured fungus. RNAcentral's name for it is "sequence contains ITS1, 5.8S rRNA gene". Lineage: Eukaryota; Fungi. The record is from RNAcentral.
ACAGUAAGCCCCGGUCUUCACCCGGGACUACACCUCUUACCACAAAAAAAGUUCUCGGGCUGUAUUUUCCGGUCAGUGGACUUUUUUUGAAGUGUAAUGCGUCCACCCAUUGUGAAACUUAACCUAUGCUUCGGCAGCACUCUUAGCAUUAAAACCGCUAGAGGGGUAAGGCUGUCAGAAGCCCACUAUCAAACUAGUUUAUGAAAUGUCAUGCAGUCUGAUAACUACUAUUUGAGAAAUCAAAUUACAUUA